GCUCAUUAAGUCACAUGUGAAAUCCCCGGGCUUAACCUGGGAACUGCAUGUGAUACUGGUGGUGCUAGAAUAUGUGAGAGGGAAGUAGAAUUCCAGGUGUAGCGGUGAAAUGCGUAGAGAUCUGGAGGAAUACCGAUGGCGAAGGCAGCUUCCUGGCAUAAUAUUGACACUGAGAUUCGAAAGCGUGGUAGCAAACAGGAUUAGAUACCCUGGUAGUCCACGCCGUAAACGAUGUCUACUAGCCGUUGGGGUCCUUGAGACUUUAGUGGCGCAGUUAACGCGAUAAGUAGACCGCCUGGGGAGUACGGCCGCAAGGUUAAAACUCAAACGAAUUGACGGGGGCCCGCACAAGCGGUGGAGCAUGUGGUUUAAUUCGAUGCAACGCGAAGAACCUUACCUGGUCUUGACAUAGUGAGAAUCUCUCAGAGAUGAGAGAGUGCCUUCGGGAACUCACAUACAGGUGCUGCAUGGCUGUCGUCAGCUCGUGUCGUGAGAUGUUGGGUUAAGUCCCGCAACGAGCGCAACCCUUUUCCUUAUUUGCCAGCGGGUUAAGCCGGGAACUUUAAGGAUACUGCCAGUGACAAACUGGAGGAAGGCGGGGACGACGUCAAGUCAUCAUGGCCCUUACGACCAGGGCUACACACGUGCUACAAUGGUAGGUACAGAGGGUUGCUACACAGCGAUGUGAUGCUAAUCUCAAAAAGCCUAUCGUAGUCCGGAUUGGAGUCUGCAACUCGACUCCAUGAAGUCGGAAUC
RNAcentral lists this ribosomal RNA (756 nucleotides) under uncultured Moraxella sp. Its description in RNAcentral is "bacterial SSU rRNA". It matches the Rfam family "Bacterial small subunit ribosomal RNA", at positions 578 to 1333 of the family's 1533-position model. Lineage: Bacteria; Pseudomonadati; Pseudomonadota; Gammaproteobacteria; Moraxellales; Moraxellaceae. The record is from RNAcentral.